Long non-coding RNA from Hipposideros armiger (great roundleaf bat), 492 nucleotides. RefSeq lists it as uncharacterized. The transcript is spliced from 3 exons. Lineage: Eukaryota; Metazoa; Chordata; Mammalia; Chiroptera; Hipposideridae. The record is from RefSeq and is a predicted model, not a curated record.
CCUUGGCCCUGUUCUCGCGGCGGUUAUUUUAUCUGUGCUGGGCCUAGGCCACCGGAUGAGAGGCUCCGCAGCACUAUGCCAUACCCGAGGUGACGGGAGAGAAAACGUUGUCCCCGCUGCACAGAUGCAGGUCUGAGGGUUGGCACUGUCGCCGCCCGGUGUCACCCGUCGCUGGGAACGACGGAGCCCGGAUUCCCGCCCUGUCGCCCGCUGCUCCUGGCCUCACUCCGCCUGCAGGCUCCGAUGGCGGCGGCUGCGCUGUUGGACCUGGCGCAGGGAUCGAUGACCUUUCAGGAUGUGGCCUGACCUUCACUCAGAGGUCCUGACCCAGAGGACGGAACCCAAAGGAUCCUGUACCAGGAGGUGAUGCCGCAGACCUAAACAAGCUGCUGUCGCUGGAGUGUCAUAGACCUGCAGUCACAAUGUUUGCUGGAGGGCCAGCCAAGUGGCUCGUUGGUUAAGAGCUGGCUUGGGACGCCAGGUGUGAGCAGC